RNAcentral lists this ribosomal RNA (1206 nucleotides) under Ralstonia solanacearum. RNAcentral describes it as "bacterial SSU rRNA". It matches the Rfam family "Bacterial small subunit ribosomal RNA", at positions 78 to 1285 of the family's 1533-position model. Lineage: Bacteria; Pseudomonadati; Pseudomonadota; Betaproteobacteria; Burkholderiales; Burkholderiaceae. The record is from RNAcentral.
UUGCUACCUGCCGGCGAGUGGCGAACGGGUGAGUAAUACAUCGGAACGUGCCCUGUAGUGGGGGAUAACUAGUCGAAAGACUGGCUAAUACCGCAUACGACCUGAGGGUGAAAGUGGGGGACCGCAAGGCCUCAUGCUAUAGGAGCGGCCGAUGUCUGAUUAGCUAGUUGGUGGGGUAAAGGCCUACCAAGGCGACGAUCAGUAGCUGGUCUGAGAGGACGAUCAGCCACACUGGGACUGAGACACGGCCCAGACUCCUACGGGAGGCAGCAGUGGGGAAUUUUGGACAAUGGGGGCAACCCUGAUCCAGCAAUGCCGCGUGUGUGAAGAAGGCCUUCGGGUUGUAAAGCACUUUUGUCCGGAAAGAAAUCGCUUCGGUUAAUACCUGGAGUGGAUGACGGUACCGGAAGAAUAAGGACCGGCUAACUACGUGCCAGCAGCCGCGGUAAUACGUAGGGUCCAAGCGUUAAUCGGAAUUACUGGGCGUAAAGCGUGCGCAGGCGGUUGUGCAAGACCGAUGUGAAAUCCCCGGGCUUAACCUGGGAAUUGCAUUGGUGACUGCACGGCUAGAGUGUGUCAGAGGGAGGUAGAAUUCCACGUGUAGCAGUGAAAUGCGUAGAGAUGUGGAGGAAUACCGAUGGCGAAGGCAGCCUCCUGGGAUAACACUGACGCUCAUGCACGAAAGCGUGGGGAGCAAACAGGAUUAGAUACCCUGGUAGUCCACGCCCUAAACGAUGUCAACUAGUUGUUGGGGAUUCAUUUCCUUAGUAACGUAGCUAACGCGUGAAGUUGACCGCCUGGGGAGUACGGUCGCAAGAUUAAAACUCAAAGGAAUUGACGGGGACCCGCACAAGCGGUGGAUGAUGUGGAUUAAUUCGAUGCAACGCGAAAAACCUUACCUACCCUUGACAUGCCACUAACGAAGCAGAGAUGCAUUAGGUGCUCGAAAGAGAAAGUGGACACAGGUGCUGCAUGGCUGUCGUCAGCUCGUGUCGUGAGAUGUUGGGUUAAGUCCCGCAACGAGCGCAACCCUUGUCUCUAGUUGCUACGAAAGGGCACUCUAGAGAGACUGCCGGUGACAAACCGGAGGAAGGUGGGGAUGACGUCAAGUCCUCAUGGCCCUUAUGGGUAGGGCUUCACACGUCAUACAAUGGUGCAUACAGAGGGUUGCCAAGCCGCGAGGUGGAGCUAAUCCCAGAAAAUGCA